RNAcentral lists this small RNA (914 nucleotides) under Pongo abelii (Sumatran orangutan). RNAcentral describes it as "retained intron". Lineage: Eukaryota; Metazoa; Chordata; Mammalia; Primates; Hominidae. The record is from RNAcentral.
GAGGCGGCGGCUGCGGCACGGAAAAGGCUCUGUGACUGAAGCUCCAAAGGCCAGCAGGCUGGUGGGGACGUGACCGAAGCGAGGCUCUAGUUCCCUUUCGAUGGGCGCCAGUUGAGCCUCGCCUCUGGCUUCCCCAGGAUGCGCCGGCAGCUGGGGAGCGGCUGCGGGCGCGAGGCCUGAGGAUGAUCUUUCCUGUCGUCCGCUACGCGCUCCGGUGGCUGCGACGGCCCGAAGACCGUGCCUUUUCCCGCGCCGCCAUGGAGGUGGCCCUCCGAGGCGUGCGGAAAGUCCUCUGUGUGGCCGAAAAAAACGACGCGGCCAAGGGGAUCGCCGACCUGCUGUCAAACGGUCGCAUGAAGCGGAGAGAAGGACUUUCAAAAUUCAACAAGAUCUAUGAAUUUGAUUAUCACCUGUAUGGCCAGAAUGUUACCAUGGUAAUGACUUCGGUUUCUGGACAUUUACUGGCUCAUGAUUUCCAGAUGCAGUUUCGAAAAUGGUCAGUACAAUUCUCAAGGGAAGGACUUUCAGAUUAUAGCAGAGCUGCAACCCUCUUGUCCUCUUUGAAGCAGAAAUUGAAAAGUACUGCCCAGAGAAUUUUGUAGACAUUAAGGUAGGGUCUUUUGGAAGACAUUUGGCACUCAGUCAAACCACAGAGUCAAACAGAGUGAUUUCUUUGUUUUUAAUGCAUUGGCAUUUGGAGAUAAGGUUUUCCACCAAAGUCACUACCAUGAUUUAAAAAGCUGGUUCCCACCCAUUGUAUAAAUGUGGCUAAGUGGCCAAGGGACUGAAGUAAACUUUUUUUUAUGAAUAGUAGUUGUUUAAAUCCUAGGAAUAAAGGCUGGACAUGGUGGUUUAUGCCUGUAAUCCCAGCAAUUUUUGGGGCCAAGGCAGGAUCACAUGAACUCCAGGAAUUU